Molecule: ribosomal RNA, 467 nt
Filed under: uncultured bacterium
Lineage: Bacteria
Description: partial 16S ribosomal RNA
Rfam family: Bacterial small subunit ribosomal RNA
Source: RNAcentral
ACGAACGCUGGCGGCGCGCCUAACACAUGCAAGUCGCACGGAGCUGAGAGAAGCUUGCUUUUCUUAGCUUAGUGGCGAACGGGUGAGUAACGCGUGAGUAACCUGCCCUGGAGUGGGGGACAACAGUUGGAAACGACUGCUAAUACCGCAUAAGCCCACGAUCCGGCAUCGGAUUGAGGGAAAAGGAUUUAUUCGCUUCAGGAUGGACUCGCGUCCAAUUAGCUAGUUGGUGAGGUAACGGCCCACCAAGGCGACGAUUGGUAGCCGGACUGAGAGGUUGAACGGCCACAGUGGGACUGAGACACGGCCCAGAAUCCUACGGGAGGCAGCAGUGGGGGAUAUUGCACAAUGGGGGAAACCCUGAUGCAGCGACGCCGCGUGGAGGAAGAAGGUUUUCGGAUUGUAAACUCCUGUCGUGAGGGACGAUAAUGACGGUACCUAACAAGAAAGCACCGGCUAACUACGUG